GACGAACGCUGGCGGCGUGCUUAACACAUGCAAGUCGAACGGUGAAGCGCUUGCCUUUUUGGUGGGUGUGGAUGAGUGGCGAACGGGUGAGUAACACGUGAGUAACCUGCCCUCUUCUUCUGGAUAACCUCAUGAAAGUGGGGCUAAUACGGGGUAUUCCGGGUCUGUCGCAUGGCGGGUUUGGGAAAGAUUGCGCCUUUGGGUGUUUUCGGUGGGGGAUGGGCUCGCGGCCUAUCAGCUUGUUGGUGGGGUGAUGGCCUACCAAGGCGGUGACGGGUAGCCGGCCUGAGAGGGUGGACGGCCACACUGGGACUGAGACACGGCCCAGACUCCUCGGGAGGCAGCAGUGUGGAAUAUUGCACAAUGGGCGCAAGCCUGAUGCAGCGACGCCGCGUGAGGGAUGGAGGCCUUCGGGUUGUGAACCUCUUUCGCCAGUGAAGCAGGCCUGCCUCG
RNAcentral lists this ribosomal RNA (453 nucleotides) under Actinomyces sp. oral taxon C25. RNAcentral's name for it is "bacterial SSU rRNA". It matches the Rfam family "Bacterial small subunit ribosomal RNA", at positions 28 to 460 of the family's 1533-position model. The record is from RNAcentral. Lineage: Bacteria; Bacillati; Actinomycetota; Actinomycetes; Actinomycetales; Actinomycetaceae.